RNAcentral lists this ribosomal RNA (485 nucleotides) under uncultured bacterium. Its description in RNAcentral is "bacterial SSU rRNA". It matches the Rfam family "Bacterial small subunit ribosomal RNA", at positions 28 to 507 of the family's 1533-position model. The record is from RNAcentral.
GAUGAACGCUAGCGGCAGGCUUAAUACAUGCAAGUCGUACGGGAUCCGAGGUAGCAAUACUUUGGUGAGAGUGGCGCACGGGUGCGUAACACGUAUGCAACCUACCUAUAACCGGGACACAACCUCGAGAAAUUGAGGCUAAUAUCCCAUAACACUGCGAGAUGGCAUCAUUUUGCAGUUAAAACUCCGGUGGUUAUAGAUGGGCAUGCGCGACAUUAGCUAGUUGGUGAGGUAACGGCCCACCAAGGCUACGAUGUCUAGGGGUUCUGAGAGGAUUAUCCCCCACACUGGUACUGAGACACGGACCAGACCCCUACGGGAGGCAGCAGUAAGGAAUAUUGGUCAAUGGGCGCAAGCCUGAACCAGCCAUGCCGCGUGAAGGAUGACGGCCCUAUGGGUUGUAAACUUCUUUUGUACGGGAAAAAACCUCUGGUCGAGAAUCAGAGCUGAUGGUACCGUAAGAAUAAGCAUCGGCUAACUCCGUG